CUUGGUGUGAAUUGCAGAAUUCAGUGAAUCAUCGAAUCUUUGAACGCACAUUGCGCCCCUUGGUAUUCCAUGGGGCAUGCCUGUUCGAGCGUCAUUUGUACCUUCAAGCUCUGCUUGGUGUUGGGUGUUUGUCUCGCCUCUGCGCGUGGACUCGCCUCAAAACAAUUGGCAGCCGGCGUAUUGAUUUCGGAGCGCAGUACAUCUCGCGCUUUGCACUCAGAACGACGACGUCCAAAAGUACAUUUUUACACUCUUGACCUCGGAUCAGGUAGGGAUACCCGCUGAACUUAAGCAUAUCAAUAAGCGGAGGAA
RNAcentral lists this ribosomal RNA (312 nucleotides) under Phoma sp. BAB-4023. RNAcentral describes it as "eukaryotic LSU rRNA". The stretch from base 1 to 94 matches the Rfam family "5.8S ribosomal RNA", at positions 61 to 154 of the family's 154-position model. The record is from RNAcentral. Lineage: Eukaryota; Fungi; Ascomycota; Dothideomycetes; Pleosporales; Didymellaceae.